Molecule: transfer RNA, 64 nt
Filed under: Empis tessellata
Lineage: Eukaryota; Metazoa; Arthropoda; Insecta; Diptera; Empididae
Description: tRNA-Arg
Source: RNAcentral
GAAUAUGAAGCGAUCAAUUGCAAUUAGUUUCGACCUAAUCCUAGAUAUAGUUUAUCCUUAUUCU